UGAUUCUUGAUAAACCUUACAACAACUUGCUUGGUUACAUUUGCGUAUGAUGUCGCUUUAACCCAUUUUGUGAAGUAGUCAAUUGCCACUAAAAUGAAACGAUGUACAUUAGAAGCUUUGGGCUCAAUGAUCCCAAUCAUAUCAAUUCCCCACAUUGAGAAGGGCCUUGGGGAAAAGAUAACAUUCAACAGUGUUGGAGGAACAUGAAUCUUAUCAGCAUAUAUUUGACACUUGUGGCACU
This 241-nucleotide long non-coding RNA is filed under the name Lathyrus oleraceus (garden pea). Its description in RNAcentral is "Pisum sativum (pea) long non-coding RNA (PSAT_LNC036066)". The record is from RNAcentral. Lineage: Eukaryota; Viridiplantae; Streptophyta; Magnoliopsida; Fabales; Fabaceae.